Molecule: long non-coding RNA, 474 nt
Organism: Coregonus clupeaformis (lake whitefish)
Lineage: Eukaryota; Metazoa; Chordata; Actinopteri; Salmoniformes; Salmonidae
Exons: 4
Source: RefSeq, a predicted model, not a curated record
GACAUGAGGGGGAUGGAGGCAUAACUUCAGCCAGAGGGGUAAAGGCCCCCAAGGGCCACAUCAGAAACGCAAGGAUGACAAGACCCAGUCACCACCUUAGGCCAUAUGUCACGUGAUGUGGACAUGAGGGGGAUGGAGGCAUAACUUCAGCCAGAGGGGUAAAGGCCCCCAAGGGCCACAUCAGAAACGCAAGGAUGACAAGACCCAGUCACCACCUUAGGCCAUAUGUCACGUGAUGUGGACAUGAGGGGGAUGGAGGCAUAACUUCAGCCAGAGGGGUAAAGGCCCCCAAGGGCCACAUCAGAAACGCAAGGAUGACAAGACCCAGUCACCACCUUAGGCCAUAUGUCACGUGAUGUGGACAUGAGGGGGAUGGAGGCAUAACUUCAGCCAGAGGGGUAAAGGCCCCCAAGGGCCACAUCAGAAACGCAAGGAUGACAAGGUAUUGUUAUAGAUUGUAUUAUUUUGAUAGGU